UUGCACGCUGGCGGCAGGCCUAACACAUGCAAGUCGAACGGUAACAGGAAGCAGCUUGCUGCUUUGCUGACGAGUGGCGGACGGGUGAGUAAUGUCUGGGAAACUGCCCGAUGGAGGGGGAUAACUACUGGAAACGGUAGCUAAUACCGCAUAACGUCGCAAGACCAAAGAGGGGGACCUUAGGGCCUCUUGCCAUCGGAGGUGCCCAGAUGGGAUUAGCUAGUAGGUGGGGUAACGGCUCACCUAGGCGACGAUCCCUAGCUGGUCUGAGAGGAUGACCAGCCACACUGGAACUGAGACACGGUCCAGACUCCUACGGGAGGCAGCAGUGGGGAAUAUUGCACAAUGGGCGCAAGCCUGAUGCAGCCAUGCCGCGUGUAUGAAGAAGGCCUUCGGGUUGUAAAGUACUUUCAGCGGGGAGGAAGGGAGUAAAGUUAAUACCUUUGCUCAUUGACGUUACCCGCAGAAGAAGCACCGGCUAACUCCGUG
RNAcentral lists this ribosomal RNA (489 nucleotides) under uncultured bacterium. Its description in RNAcentral is "partial 16S ribosomal RNA". It matches the Rfam family "Bacterial small subunit ribosomal RNA", at positions 30 to 507 of the family's 1533-position model. The record is from RNAcentral.